AUUUAGGAUUUAGAUUAGGGUUUGGUUAGGGUUUAGUUUAGGAUUUAGGAUUUGGAUUAGGGUUUGAUUUAGGAUUUAAGAUUUGAUUAGGAUUUAGUUUAGGAUUUAGGGUUUGGAUUAGGGUUUGGUUAGGGUUUAUUUAGGAUUUAGGAUUUGGUUAGGAUUUGGUUAGGAUUUGGUUUAGAGUUUAAUUAGGGUUUUAUUUAGAAUUUAGGAUUUUAUUAGGAUUUAAGAUUCAAUUAGUUUUGGCCUAAAGUUUUAAUGAAAUUCAAUAGGAUUUUAACUAGAAUUAAAUUAAGAUUGAAUUGAGAUAUAUUUGAGUGAUAUUUGUGAUCCUUCUAAUAUUUCUUUAAGAAUUCUUAUUGUUUGUUUGAAAUUUCUUUGAGGUUUUUUUGAAUUUGAUUAAGCUUGUUUAGCAUUAUUAUGGUCUAAUUAGAGCAUUGUUAGUAUUCUAUUAGAAUUAGGAUUUUAUUAUUGCAAUUUCCAUUCUUCCUUCCACAGCCAGGUGCCCGGAGCAUUCUCAAGCAAGACUUCACGUAUUACGACAGUGUAAAAGUGGAUAUGUAUUCUUAACAAUCUACUUAUAAAAGUGUCAAUAAUCAAUGUAAUACUAAAGUCUAUUAUCUUUU
This 629-nucleotide long non-coding RNA is filed under the name Physcomitrium patens. RNAcentral's name for it is "long non-coding RNA (PPAT_LNC006420)". Lineage: Eukaryota; Viridiplantae; Streptophyta; Bryopsida; Funariales; Funariaceae. The record is from RNAcentral.